Molecule: non-coding RNA, 78 nt
Organism: Desmophyllum pertusum
Lineage: Eukaryota; Metazoa; Cnidaria; Anthozoa; Scleractinia; Caryophylliidae
Source: the annotation of a GenBank genome assembly
ACAGUGACAUGGUGGCCUAAUGGUAAGUGUGUUGGACUCCGGAUUGGGUGGUUCGGGUUCAAGCCCAGGUUCACUGUU